UUUGAUGGCGACCGGCGCACGGGUGAGUAACACGUAUCCAACCUGCCGAUGACUCGGGGAUAGCCUUUCGAAAGAAAGAUUAAUACCCGAUGGCAUAGUUCUUCUGCAUGGUAGAACUAUUAAAGAAUUUCGGUCAUCGAUGGGGAUGCGUUCCAUUAGGUUGUUGGCGGGGUAACGGCCCACCAAGCCUUCGAUGGAUAGGGGUUCUGAGAGGAAGGUCCCCCACAUUGGAACUGAGACACGGUCCAAACUCCUACGGGAGGCAGCAUG
RNAcentral lists this ribosomal RNA (270 nucleotides) under uncultured bacterium. Its description in RNAcentral is "partial 16S ribosomal RNA". It matches the Rfam family "Bacterial small subunit ribosomal RNA", at positions 84 to 353 of the family's 1533-position model. The record is from RNAcentral.